CGCUAUUUGACGUCAAGAUGAGUUUUCAAAAACAAGUAUAGUUUGAUCGUUCGACGUUUGUGGAUUUUUUACGUUGGAAUGUGCAUUUUUCAGAAAACAGAAAACAGAAAACAUUAAUACUCAAUACGGAAGCGAAAAUUGAUUAUGAAUUGAAGUAACGAACUAUGUUAACGUGAGUUUUGUGGACACACAAAACAAAGUAUUACGCAAACGCAAGUGAAAGACAACAAAAAAAAAAAGAGGAAGAAGACAAAUAAAAGUCAUCCUUUCAAACAUUAAGGAUUCGCAUAACUUAUUUUAACAAGAACUGAUUUCUAAUUUAAUUUAAUUUAUUAUUUUAUUAUUAAGUGAAAGAUUCAGAGUGGUGACUCUUGGUUUUCACUUGAGAAGAAAAACAUGUUUAGUAACAACACCACAUCCUCCGGGUUGGAUGAUGUACAGAUGUUUCUUGAUGUAGUAAACAAAACCACAUCCUCCGGGUUGGAUGAUAUACAGAUGUUUCUUGAUGCAGUAAACAAAAACACAUCCUCCGAGUUGGAUGAUGUACUAAUGGUUGGCAGAUUUCUAGGAGACAUAUCUGAUAUAGGUGGGAAAAUUGCUGAUGUAGGUGGGAAAAUAGUUCAAGGAGUAGCAGGCCUCGACUUUCUACCGGACAUAUUCGGUAGCGCCUCCAGACUCGACCCGACAUAUGUCGCCUUUGCCAGAUUUUUCAUCUCCACGAUGUGUACACUGGCAACGAUAAACAACAUCUUCCUAAUCGUUGCAGCCAGAAUCACGGACAACGGGAAAACCCGAACGGCAACGUACCUGAGUUCGUUUGCCUUGGUCGGCAUCUUCGCCGCUGCGGUAGUGAUGCCUUAUGGCCUCUACCAGACGUCGGGCGGCUGGAACAGGGUAAUGGCCUUCUUCCUCUGUAACUGUGCGUCCCCCUUCAACAUCAUGGUGUGUACAAAUGCCACACUUCACCUGUUCUUUAUCGCCUGGGACCAGUACAUGUACACGUGUCACUCGAUCAUCUACAAGAUACUGAACGCCUUCGUCCUCUGCUGUAUCGUCUGUUGGCUGGUCAUUGGCUGCUGGGUCGCAGCAUUAAUCGUAUCCUUCUUUCCUGUCAUAGACACGUUAACCGAUGUGUCCAAAUUUAUAUUUGGAGUUAUAUCAUCUUUCUCCUGCUUUCUUCCACCGGGGAAAAUCGCCGUGUUCGUGGGACAGGUGAGGUUCUGCUGGUGGUGUACUCUUCCAGCGUAUUUCGUUCCCAUUCUUUUCGUCAUCCUCUGCUACUGGAGAAUAUGUGUGCAUGCGAAGAAGGAUAUGAAACUGAGGUGCACGUGCCAUUCGCUGAAAGUGGCCUUCAAGGCUAUGCUACAGUCGGAGGAACCCACGGGGGGUAUCGGCGCCAUGAUCUUCCUGUACGUCGUCUGCUGGUUUCCAUUCUUCGUGUGGUCCUUAAUGGAGGAUAGAUUCGGCGUCACAAUGCCCGACUUCUUCAGAGCCGUUUUCUUGUGGAUCGGUUACUCCACGUUUGUCUUCGGUCCUGUUGUCUAUAUCAUCUUCAACAAACCGGUGAGGGAUUUCUUCUGCAAGGUUAUCAAGGUCACCAUAAUCGUUUUCAAGUGCUGUUUCAGGUGUUGUAAGAAAAAUUGCAAAAUAUGCCGUCGGAAGACUAGGAAAUCUGAAAAGUCUACCGAAGGUCAUAAGCCUGCGCAAGUUCGUCGCUCUAAAGAAAAGAACAAAACUGUUAAGGCUAAGAAAACUGAUAAGGUUAAGAAAACUCUUAAGGUUAAGAAAACUAAGUCUUCUAGGUCUAACAAAGUUGGUGCUAAAUAAUGUGAACUAGUUUCGUAUAGUAUUAGUGGGGUGGUGGUGGAGUGAUAGUGGGGUGAUGGGGUAGUAGAGUGAUGGUGGGGGUGUUUCAAAGGGUGGGAGGAGUUAACAUUCUAUUAAACUAAUCGAAAUGUUUCUCUUUGGGUUUUUUUUUUUUUUCCAGUCUGGUCAAACAACAGUAAGCGAGAGACAUAGUGACAGAAGUAGAGACAGAAAGACAGUGAGACAACAGAACUAGGCUUCCACGUGUGGGUAGAUCGCAAAAUGCAUUGUUAUAUAUGCAUAAGCAGCCUCGCCUUUUGUUUUCCAUUAAAAACUACUUGAAACGAUUUUUUAGAAUUGCGUUGACUCACGAAACAAUAACUUACAGUUGUUGCUAGACCAACUCCUGUUACGCUUCGUUCCGUUUACAACCCAUUCCGUGUCAGUAGAUUAUGAGCUUGUGUUGUUGUUGGGGUUUGGUUUUUGUUGUUGUUGUUUUGAGGGUCAACGGUAAAUGACAAAAUGAUUCGCUUCCAGUAAUGACUUCACAUCAUACAAAAGCAAAUGUCUGGAUUGGUCCAAAUAAGAUCAUGCUACUUAAAAAUCCGAUGUUCAUGACAUCAUGAAUCUCAAUGUGGCACUAUUUUCGGCAUUGCAUAUGAUAGAAAACAAAAGAGAUCCUUUCAACUAUAUUCUUAAUUUGAGAUUAAUAAAAUGGCUCUUUAUACGUUAGUUGUAAUGUUGAAGUAUAUGUUCUUUAUUGUUUAAAAUCGUUUGUAUUAAUGUAUGAAAAACAAAUGUGAGAAUUACUUCAUUCGGCUACUGAUGGGGAGAAGCCGAAUCACGGUAAUACGGAUUCUCAUUCAGCGUAUUAAUUGUUUGAAGAAAGAGUUCCAUUGUUAUUUCAGGAUGUCUUUUAUAUUUAAUGAAAUUAUUCAUUUGGAAAUAUGAGAAUGGAAAAUGAUAAUUUGUUACGUUCAUGCAAGGAUGAAAUUUUUUGUUUAACGACACCACUGUAGCACAUUUAGGAGAUGACCAUAAUGCGGUACACCGUUUAUUUACUGCACUGACGUGCGGGGCGGGGGGAGGGGGUGGGCACACACACAUACAUACAUACACACACACACACACACACACACACACACACACACACACACACACACGUCUUGAUCCAGUAGCAGUAGCGGUGGUUUAUAU
This 3003-nucleotide unclassified non-coding RNA is filed under the name Gigantopelta aegis. RNAcentral's name for it is "trace amine-associated receptor 5-like, transcript variant X1". The record is from RNAcentral. Lineage: Eukaryota; Metazoa; Mollusca; Gastropoda; Neomphalida; Peltospiridae.